Molecule: transfer RNA, 73 nt
Filed under: Malassezia sympodialis ATCC 42132
Lineage: Eukaryota; Fungi; Basidiomycota; Malasseziomycetes; Malasseziales; Malasseziaceae
Description: tRNA-Asn (GTT) (tRNA-Asn-GTT-1-1, tRNA-Asn-GTT-1-2)
Rfam family: tRNA
About the family: Transfer RNA (tRNA) molecules are approximately 80 nucleotides in length. Their secondary structure includes four short double-helical elements and three loops (D, anti-codon, and T loops). Further hydrogen bonds mediate the characteristic L-shaped molecular structure. tRNAs have two regions of fundamental functional importance: the anti-codon, which is responsible for specific mRNA codon recognition, and the 3' end, to which the tRNAs corresponding amino acid is attached (by aminoacyl-tRNA synthetases). tRNAs cope with the degeneracy of the genetic code in two manners: having more than one tRNA (with a specific anti-codon) for a particular amino acid; and 'wobble' base-pairing, i.e. permitting non-standard base-pairing at the 3rd anti-codon position.
Source: RNAcentral
GACCCAUUGGUACAGUGGUUAGCACGUGGAGCUGUUAACUCUAAGGUCACUGGUUCGAUUCCAGUAUGGGUCG